GAUGAACGCUAGCUACAGGCUUAACACAUGCAAGUCGAGGGGCAGCACAGUGUAGCAAUACACGGGUGGCGACCGGCGCACGGGUGCGUAACGCGUAUCCAACCUUCCCGUUACUCAGGGAUAGCCUUCCGAAAGGGAGAUUAAUACCCUGAUGGUGUUGAAAUUCCGCAUGUUAUUCAACUAAAGAUUUAUCGGUAACGGAUAGGCUCGCGUGACAUUAGCUAGAUGGCGGGUAACGGCCCACCAUGGCGACGAUCAGUAGCCGGACUGAGAGGUUGAACGGCCACAUUGGGACUGAGACACGGCCCAGACUCCUAC
Molecule: ribosomal RNA, 318 nt
Filed under: uncultured bacterium
Lineage: Bacteria
Description: bacterial SSU rRNA
Rfam family: Bacterial small subunit ribosomal RNA
Source: RNAcentral